RNAcentral lists this long non-coding RNA (589 nucleotides) under Gallus gallus (chicken). Its description in RNAcentral is "long non-coding RNA NONGGAT008441". The record is from RNAcentral. Lineage: Eukaryota; Metazoa; Chordata; Aves; Galliformes; Phasianidae.
GGUCGCUGUGGGUAGAGGAAGAACGUCGCCGCUCUGGCUCUGCUGCUUGACUUUUGUCACGAUAGGGCACAAUGCCUGUUGUGAACAGGGGAGUAAGAUCUGAGAGAAAUUGAUUCUCCAAACAAACUUUUCAGAGGCGUAGCAAUAGCAUCAUUUGAGCUAUUUUUUUUUUUUUAAUCGGGAAUCUGUUCUCCCCUUUUGAUUCCUCUACAGAAGUUCGGAUCAGCUGUGAAAUAAGACGACAUUUGGACUUCCUGAAGGUAGGAUCAAAAAAUGUCACUUGUUGGUUUCUUGUUGUAAGUACUUAAAGAACGUUUUUGUCCUAUUCUCAACUUCCAGGAGAGGGUCCUUUCCCUUCACAUUAACAAGGAGUCAGGACGUGAGGCCUGCACCUGUCUUCACAUUUCUGGGAGAAGUGACUGAAGUUCAGACAGUGAACAAGUAACUGAGAACAAGCAUCAGAUAAACCCAGAAGCUGUGCUGCACCUUUGGGAAGACAUUCUGAUGCACUGAAAGACUUCACUCAUUGGUGUACCUAGAGAAGCUUUCCCUAUGGUGCAAUCUCAUGCCAGCAUACUAUUUAGCAGCG